UGAGGCAGGAGAAUUGCUUGAACCCAGGAGGCGGAGGUUGCAGUGAGCCGAGAUCGCGCCACUGUACUCCAGCCUGGGUAACAAGAGCGAAACUCCGUCUC
Molecule: microRNA precursor, 101 nt
Filed under: Saimiri boliviensis boliviensis (Bolivian squirrel monkey)
Lineage: Eukaryota; Metazoa; Chordata; Mammalia; Primates; Cebidae
Description: miRNA (ENSSBOG00000005667.1)
Source: RNAcentral